Molecule: non-coding RNA, 45 nt
Filed under: Schistosoma mansoni
Lineage: Eukaryota; Metazoa; Platyhelminthes; Trematoda; Strigeidida; Schistosomatidae
Source: RNAcentral
GCACUGACGAAGAGUCCACAACAGGACGGAACGGCCGUCCAAUGC